RNAcentral lists this ribosomal RNA (436 nucleotides) under uncultured Alphaproteobacteria bacterium. RNAcentral's name for it is "bacterial SSU rRNA". It matches the Rfam family "Bacterial small subunit ribosomal RNA", at positions 43 to 527 of the family's 1533-position model. The record is from RNAcentral. Lineage: Bacteria; Pseudomonadati; Pseudomonadota; Alphaproteobacteria.
CAGGCCUAACACAUGCAAGUCGAACGCACCUUCGGGUGAGUGGCGGACGGGUGAGUAACACGUGGGAACGUGCCCUUUGGUUCGGAAUAAUCCGGGGAAACCUGGCCUAAUACCGGAUGUGCCCUUCGGGGGAAAGAUUUAUCGCCAUUGGAGGGGCCCGCGUCGGAUUAGGUAGUUGGUGGGGUAACGGCCUACCAAGCCAUCGAUCCGUAGCUGGUCUGAGAGGACGACCAGCCACACUGGGACUGAGAUACGGCCCAGACUCCUACGGGAGGCAGCAGUGGGGAAUAUUGGACAAUGGAGGAAACUCUGAUCCAGCCAUGCCGCGUGAGUGAUGAAGGCCUUAGGGUUGUAAAGCUCUUUGAGUAGGGAAGAUAAUGACGGUACCUACAGAACAAGCCCCGGCUAACUUCGUGCCAGCAGCCGCGGUAAUACA